GACGAACGCUGGCGGCGUGCUUAACACAUGCAAGUCGAACGCUGAAGCUCAGCUUUUGUUGGGUGGAUGAGUGGCGAACGGGUGAGUAACACGUGAGUAACCUGCCCCCUUCUUUGGGAUAACGCCCGGAAACGGGUGCUAAUACUGGAUAUUCACUGGUCUUCGCAUGGGGGUUGGUGGAAAGGGUUUUUCUGGUGGGGGAUGGGCUCGCGGCCUAUCAGCUUGUUGGUGGGGUGAUGGCCUACCAAGGCUUUGACGGGUAGCCGGCCUGAGAGGGUGACCGGUUACAGUGGGACGGAGAUACGGCCCAGACUACUACGAGAGGCAGCAGUGGGGAAUAUUGCACAAUGGGCGCAAGCCUGAUGCAGCGACGCCGCGUGAGGGAUGGAGGCCUUCGGGUUGUGAACCUCUUUCGCUCAUGGUCAAGCCGCAACAAUGGUUGUGGUGAGGGUAGUGGGUAAAGAAGCGCCGGCUAACUACGUG
This 483-nucleotide ribosomal RNA is filed under the name uncultured bacterium. Its description in RNAcentral is "partial 16S ribosomal RNA". It matches the Rfam family "Bacterial small subunit ribosomal RNA", at positions 28 to 507 of the family's 1533-position model. The record is from RNAcentral.